Molecule: ribosomal RNA, 253 nt
Filed under: uncultured bacterium
Lineage: Bacteria
Description: partial 16S ribosomal RNA
Rfam family: Bacterial small subunit ribosomal RNA
Source: RNAcentral
UACAGAGGGUGCGAGCGUUGUCCGGAAUCACUGGGCGUAAAGGGCGCGUAGGCGGCUUGAUAAGGUUGCGGUGAAAGCCCGGGGCUCAACCCCGGGUCUGCAUUCGAUACGGGCUAGCUAGAGUGUGGUAGGGGAGAUCGGAAUUCCUGGUGUAGCGGUGAAAUGCGCAGAUAUCAGGAGGAACACCGGUGGCGAAGGCGGAUCUCUGGGCAUGUCCUGACGCUGAGGAGCGAAGGUGUGGGGAGCGAACAGG